This 2516-nucleotide ribosomal RNA is filed under the name Staphylococcus aureus. Its description in RNAcentral is "partial 23S ribosomal RNA". It matches the Rfam family "Bacterial large subunit ribosomal RNA", at positions 1 to 2515 of the family's 2925-position model. Lineage: Bacteria; Bacillati; Bacillota; Bacilli; Caryophanales; Staphylococcaceae. The record is from RNAcentral.
GAUUAAGUUAUUAAGGGCGCACGGUGGAUGCCUUGGCACUAGAAGCCGAUGAAGGACGUUACUAACGACGAUAUGCUUUGGGGAGCUGUAAGUAAGCUUUGAUCCAGAGAUUUCCGAAUGGGGAAACCCAGCAUGAGUUAUGUCAUGUUAUCGAUAUGUGAAUACAUAGCAUAUCAGAAGGCACACCCGGAGAACUGAAACAUCUUAGUACCCGGAGGAAGAGAAAGAAAAUUCGAUUCCCUUAGUAGCGGCGAGCGAAACGGGAAGAGCCCAAACCAACAAGCUUGCUUGUUGGGGUUGUAGGACACUCUAUACGGAGUUACAAAGGACGACAUUAGACGAAUCAUCUGGAAAGAUGAAUCAAAGAAGGUAAUAAUCCUGUAGUCGAAAAUGUUGUCUCUCUUGAGUGGAUCCUGAGUACGACGGAGCACGUGAAAUUCCGUCGGAAUCUGGGAGGACCAUCUCCUAAGGCUAAAUACUCUCUAGUGACCGAUAGUGAACCAGUACCGUGAGGGAAAGGUGAAAAGCACCCCGGAAGGGGAGUGAAAUAGAACCUGAAACCGUGUGCUUACAAGUAGUCAGAGCCCGUUAAUGGGUGAUGGCGUGCCUUUUGUAGAAUGAACCGGCGAGUUACGAUUUGAUGCAAGGUUAAGCAGUAAAUGUGGAGCCGUAGCGAAAGCGAGUCUGAAUAGGGCGUUUAGUAUUUGGUCGUAGACCCGAAACCAGGUGAUCUACCCUUGGUCAGGUUGAAGUUCAGGUAACACUGAAUGGAGGACCGAACCGACUUACGUUGAAAAGUGAGCGGAUGAACUGAGGGUAGCGGAGAAAUUCCAAUCGAACCUGGAGAUAGCUGGUUCUCUCCGAAAUAGCUUUAGGGCUAGCCUCAAGUGAUGAUUAUUGGAGGUAGAGCACUGUUUGGACGAGGGGCCCCUCUCGGGUUACCGAAUUCAGACAAACUCCGAAUGCCAAUUAAUUUAACUUGGGAGUCAGAACAUGGGUGAUAAGGUCCRUGUUCGAAAGGGAAACAGCCCAGACCACCAGCUAAGGUCCCAAAAUAUAUGUUAAGUGGAAAAGGAUGUGGCGUUGCCCAGACAACUAGGAUGUUGGCUUAGAAGCAGCCAUCAUUUAAAGAGUGCGUAAUAGCUCACUAGUCGAGUGACACUGCGCCGAAAAUGUACCGGGGCUAAACAUAUUACCGAAGCUGUGGAUUGUCCUUUGGACAAUGGUAGGAGAGCGUUCUAAGGGCGUUGAAGCAUGAUCGUAAGGACAUGUGGAGCGCUUAGAAGUGAGAAUGCCGGUGUGAGUAGCGAAAGACGGGUGAGAAUCCCGUCCACCGAUUGACUAAGGUUUCCAGAGGAAGGCUCGUCCGCUCUGGGUUAGUCGGGUCCUAAGCUGAGGCCGACAGGCGUAGGCGAUGGAUAACAGGUUGAUAUUCCUGUACCACCUAUAAUCGUUUUAAUCGAUGGGGGGACGCAGUAGGAUAGGCGAAGCGUGCGAUUGGAUUGCACGUCUAAGCAGUAAGGCUGAGUAUUAGGCAAAUCCGGUACUCGUUAAGGCUGAGCUGUGAUGGGGAGAAGACAUUGUGUCUUCGAGUCGUUGAUUUCACACUGCCGAGAAAAGCCUCUAGAUAGAAAAUAGGUGCCCGUACCGCAAACCGACACAGGUAGUCAAGAUGAGAAUUCUAAGGUGAGCGAGCGAACUCUCGUUAAGGAACUCGGCAAAAUGACCCCGUAACUUCGGGAGAAGGGGUGCUCUUUAGGGUUAACGCCCAGAAGAGCCGCAGUGAAUAGGCCCAAGCGACUGUUUAUCAAAAACACAGGUCUCUGCUAAACCGUAAGGUGAUGUAUAGGGGCUGACGCCUGCCCGGUGCUGGAAGGUUAAGAGGAGUGGUUAGCUUCUGCGAAGCUACGAAUCGAAGCCCCAGUAAACGGCGGCCGUAACUAUAACGGUCCUAAGGUAGCGAAAUUCCUUGUCGGGUAAGUUCCGACCCGCACGAAAGGCGUAACGAUUUGGGCACUGUCUCAACGAGAGACUCGGUGAAAUCAUAGUACCUGUGAAGAUGCAGGUUACCCGCGACAGGACGGAAAGACCCCGUGGAGCUUUACUGUAGCCUGAUAUUGAAAUUCGGCACAGCUUGUACAGGAUAGGUAGGAGCCUUUGAAACGUGAGCGCUAGCUUACGUGGAGGCGCUGGUGGGAUACUACCCUAGCUGUGUUGGCUUUCUAACCCGCACCACUUAUCGUGGUGGGAGACAGUGUCAGGCGGGCAGUUUGACUGGGGCGGUCGCCUCCUAAAAGGUAACGGAGGCGCUCAAAGGUUCCCUCAGAAUGGUUGGAAAUCAUUCAUAGAGUGUAAAGGCAUAAGGGAGCUUGACUGCGAGACCUACAAGUCGAGCAGGGUCGAAAGACGGACUUAGUGAUCCGGUGGUUCCGCAUGGAAGGGCCAUCGCUCAACGGAUAAAAGCUACCCCGGGGAUAACAGGCUUAUCUCCCCCAAGAGUUCACAUCGACGGGGAG